UACGUAGGGUGCGAGCGUUGUCCGGAAUUCUUGGGCGUAAAGGGCUCGUAGGCGGUUUGUCGCGUCGGGAGUGAAAACACCGGGCUUAACUCGGUGCUUGCUUUCGAUACGGGCAGACUAGAGGUAUGCAGGGGAGAACGGAAUUCCUGGUGUAGCGGUGAAAUGCGCAGAUAUCAGGAGGAACACCGGUGGCGAAGGCGGUUCUCUGGGCAUUACCUGACGCUGAGGAGCGAAAGUGUGGGGAGCGAACAGG
RNAcentral lists this ribosomal RNA (253 nucleotides) under uncultured bacterium. Its description in RNAcentral is "partial 16S ribosomal RNA". It matches the Rfam family "Bacterial small subunit ribosomal RNA", at positions 524 to 776 of the family's 1533-position model. The record is from RNAcentral.